AAUGAUUACCCUGAACGGUGGAUCACUUGGGCUCGUGGGUCGAUGAAGAACGCAGCUAAUUGC
RNAcentral lists this ribosomal RNA (63 nucleotides) under Diglyphus isaea. RNAcentral describes it as "partial 5.8S ribosomal RNA". It matches the Rfam family "5.8S ribosomal RNA", at positions 1 to 56 of the family's 154-position model. From Rfam's summary of the family: 5.8S ribosomal RNA (5.8S rRNA) is a component of the large subunit of the eukaryotic ribosome. It is transcribed by RNA polymerase I as part of the 45S precursor that also contains 18S and 28S rRNA. The record is from RNAcentral. Lineage: Eukaryota; Metazoa; Arthropoda; Insecta; Hymenoptera; Eulophidae.